This 484-nucleotide ribosomal RNA is filed under the name uncultured bacterium. RNAcentral's name for it is "bacterial SSU rRNA". It matches the Rfam family "Bacterial small subunit ribosomal RNA", at positions 30 to 507 of the family's 1533-position model. The record is from RNAcentral.
AUUGAACGCUGGCGGCAUGCCUUACACAUGCAAGUCGAACGGCAGCACGGGAGCAAUCCUGGUGGCGAGUGGCGAACGGGUGAGUAAUAUAUCGGAACGUGCCCAGUCGUGGGGGAUAACGCAGCGAAAGUUGUGCUAAUACCGCAUACGAUCUAUGGAUGAAAGCGGGGGAUCGCAAGACCUCGCGCGAUUGGAGCGGCCGAUAUCAGAUUAGGUUGUUGGUGAGGUAAAAGCUCACCAAGCCUGCGAUCUGUAGCUGGUCUGAGAGGACGACCAGCCACACUGGAACUGAGACACGGUCCAGACUCCUACGGGAGGCAGCAGUGGGGAAUUUUGGACAAUGGACGAAAGUCUGAUCCAGCAAUGCCGCGUGCAGGACGAAGGCCUUCGGGUUGUAAACUGCUUUUGUACGGAACGAAAAGACUCUUUCUAAUAAAGAGGGUCCAUGACGGUACCGUAAGAAUAAGCACCGGCUAACUACGUG